GGCUUACACAGCAACCAGUUUCCAUUACCAGACCAGUUGGGAAAACUGCAAAGUUCAAGUGUGAAGUUGAAGGAGUAUCUGUUAUUAGCCAAGGUCUUCACUGGUAUCAUCAGGACCGCACCAAAAAUAUAAAGUGGCUACUAUUUUAUAAGCCCACCCUUAGUCAGAUUCCAAAUGAGUAUCAAACCAGAAUGUCCUUGGAUACAGAGACAGACAGUUUGUGCACCCUAAGUAUCACUAACAUUCAAGUAAUCGAUGAUGGUACUUAUUUGUGUGCAGCUUGGCACACCAA
Pelobates cultripes (western spadefoot toad) is the source of this 292-nucleotide non-coding RNA. The record is from the annotation of a GenBank genome assembly. NCBI's taxonomy places the organism in Eukaryota, Metazoa, Chordata, Amphibia, Anura, Pelobatidae.